UGGGGAAUAUUGGGCAAUGGGCGCAAGCCUGACCCAGCGACGCCGCGUGGGUGAUGAAGGCCUUCGGGUCGUAAAGCCCUGUCGGGUGGAAAGAAUGACCUCGGGGCGAAUAGCCCCGGGGUGUGACGGUACCACCGAAGGAAGCACCGGCCAAUUCCGUGCCAGCAGCCGCGGUAAGACGGAAGGUGCAAGCGUUGCUCGGAAUCACUGGGCGUAAAGGGUGCGUAGGCGGCCGCGCAAGUCUGGCGUGAAAGCCCCGGGCUCAGCCCGGGAAGGGCGCUCGAAACGGCGCGGCUCGAGUGCCGGAGGGGAGAGUGGAAUUCCUGGUGUAGCGGUGAAAUGCGUAGAUAUCAGGAGGAAUACCGGUGGCGAAAGCGACUCUCUGGACGGUAACUGACGCUGAGGCACGAAAGCGUGGGGAGCAAACAG
RNAcentral lists this ribosomal RNA (429 nucleotides) under uncultured bacterium. Its description in RNAcentral is "bacterial SSU rRNA". It matches the Rfam family "Bacterial small subunit ribosomal RNA", at positions 355 to 775 of the family's 1533-position model. The record is from RNAcentral.